Molecule: long non-coding RNA, 1797 nt
Filed under: Zea mays
Lineage: Eukaryota; Viridiplantae; Streptophyta; Magnoliopsida; Poales; Poaceae
Description: drought-responsive long non-coding RNA
Source: RNAcentral
CGCCACCACCGCGAGAAAGCAGGCAUCGCCUUCACAGCCGACAAAAGCUACGGCCUAUGGCGGAUACGGUCGCCCCUCCACUGCCUCCCUUGCCGCGCUGUCUUCUUCAUCUCAUCGCUUCCCAUAGUUGUGCCAGUUGGAGACCCUUCUGUUGCUGAAGGAGACCUACAUAAACUAUAGUUAGCCGCUAAGUUAAACAAGCCACGCGCUAGGUCAGAACCUAGCAGGCUUAAGGAUCAGUAAAAUGAUAUCUGUUCAACAUGAGGCACAACGAUAUCUAUCUUUCAAGAAUCAAUAAACUGAUAUAAGAGUGAGCGCCUCUCAACUUGAGUGGAUUAUCUUGUUUCUAUGUUUUUGUUUAUCACAUAGACGAAGUUAAUGCUUAAUCCCCAGAGAUGCAUAUAACCAAGUGGCACUUACUUGGAUCUGAGAACCUCUAGUGCUUGUUUAUCUCAAGUAAGCCUUUUGAGUCUUAAUGUUUCAUUGAAGAACAUCAAUGCUUAAUUGCAAGUCAAUGUUGUAAUUCUUGAGAAGUCAUGGAAGCUUAUAAGAAGAAAGGAUGGGCUCUAACAAAUCAUUUACCUAAUUUACCAGGUAUAUCAACUAUUUUACCUAGAUUUAUUCAGGAAAAUUUACAUUUAGCCUUUCUUUGGGAGAAUCUUACUUUUUAACUUAUGGUGCACAAUUAGUCCACUUCUUUUGAGAACAAGGAGGUUCAUCAUGAACCAGUUGUUCACAAUAUGCUAAAUUGUUAGAAAGUUAACUACUAACUACAAUGAAACCGUUUUUUAUGAAACAGUUAUUAUUUUGUCACCACUUGCAAUACAGAAGACAAAACUCAUGAAAUUUGAUAGAUGUAAUCCUCACAUUUGAACCAUAGUAGUGCAGUGCAGUAACACAAGAAUAGUUUCAUUCAUUAUCUGCAAAGUCAUCCCUUAUAGUUGUCAAUGAACUAUCAUGUGAAGACAGAAUAAGAACUUUGUGAUUCUCACAUUUGCGAUUGCUUGUUUAUUUAUGUGUCUGAAUAAAAGUGUUACUAUAAAAUAUUUGACCUAUUUUGGAAAUUUUAUUUAUUGUGUAAUCAUGGCCUAGAUGUUUAGAUUAUUGAUUAGCAGAUUUUCUAUGCAUUAUUCUGAGUUUGUAGACAACAGACAUGGGUGUCUUUUGAUAUUAAUUGUCAGGUCAAAGGUCAGUUUUGUGGAAAAUAUACAAUAUGUUAAUAUCUUCAAUAGUACAAGAUCUUGUACUACAUGUCAAUGUUAAUAUCGACUAAUUUCUUGAUUAUUUUCAAUAGGAUGGGAGAGUGUCGAAUGCUUUUUCAGAUACUAUUUCUUGGUCCGUCAAAUCUAUUUGAGCUAAAUGCAAGUUUUUGCUCAAAUGUGGCAAAAAAUGAUUGUCUCACCAAUUGUGAGCACGACUGCCUCCAACAAAGUUAGAAUGUAACUUCUUUUAACAGAUGCAAAAUCUGGCAUUAUUAUAUCCUUUUUUACACAUACAUAUGACCUUUGUGAUAUCUCGUAAUGUGAGGUGUUCAACUAUGUCUAACUACUAAUUAUUGCCUUCACCUAUUUGUAUAGGAAAAGAUGGAAUAGAACUUUGGUGGCCGCACAUGUGUGGAGACUAGAAUUCAUAUAUACUUAGUUAGGCUCAACGUUAACGCAAACAGUUGAUAACCAAAAUUUUCAAUUAGUACUUUAGUUUGAAUUUAGAUUACACUUUUGUAUGAGUUAUUUGACAAUGCUUAUUUAUUAGAUAUUGAAUGAUACUUAUCUAUAUUAUAUUAAUUAUAAUGUUAUU